Molecule: ribosomal RNA, 253 nt
Filed under: uncultured bacterium
Lineage: Bacteria
Description: partial small subunit ribosomal RNA
Rfam family: Bacterial small subunit ribosomal RNA
Source: RNAcentral
AGGACGAACGCUGGCGGCGUGCUUAACACAUGCAAGUCGAGCGGAAAGGCCCUUCGGGGUACUCGAGCGGCGAACGGGUGAGUAACACGUGAGUAAUCUGCCCCUAGCUCUGGGAUAGCUCCGGGAAACCGGGAUUAAUACCAGAUACGACCACUUUAGACAUCUGUUGUGGUGGAAAGAAUUUUGGCUAGGAUGAGCUCGCGGCCUAUCAGCUUGUUGGUGAGGUAACGGCUCACCAAGGCGACGACGGGUA